Molecule: unclassified non-coding RNA, 61 nt
Filed under: Secale cereale (rye)
Lineage: Eukaryota; Viridiplantae; Streptophyta; Magnoliopsida; Poales; Poaceae
Also listed under: 1 other name
Description: tRNA-like element t1
Source: RNAcentral
GUUCUGACUGGUUGGUAAAAGGACUCUAAAUCCUUUGAGUGGUUCGAUUCCACAACAGAAC